Lonchura striata (white-rumped munia) is the source of this 407-nucleotide long non-coding RNA. RefSeq lists it as uncharacterized. Lineage: Eukaryota; Metazoa; Chordata; Aves; Passeriformes; Estrildidae. The record is from RefSeq and is a predicted model, not a curated record.
GGAAGGAGAGACAGGGCGGGGCUGUGGGGGUUUGAUCAUCUGAACACUGCCUUUGAGAGGUUUACAGGACAUCCUUCAAUGUCCUGAGUGUGCUUGAGCAGAAGUCAUGCUUUCUGUGGCAGAAAGAUGAGCAAGGCCAGGGAUGGGCAGUGGUACAAGAUGAAUGAUGCCUCAAGACUUCUCUCUGCCAAAAUACAUACUUAGUUUUCUAUGCCAGGUAGGAGCAAGUGUGAAAGGAUAUACAGAAUAUACUCUCUCUUGUGUUACUGAUCCUGUUGCUGUCUUCUCUGAUGGGUUUUGCUUUUUGUCAUAGGAGAGAAUGGCUGUUUGUCCAGGUAAGUUCUUUCUGUCUUGCAGUUGACAGGCCAUUUCUUCUCCCUUGCUGUCUGGCACUGAACUGGGCUUGU